GUCUUUAUAGCUUAUUUUAAAGCGCAGCGUUGAAGGUGUUGAGAAAGAAUAUUGUUCUUGAAGACA
Molecule: transfer RNA, 66 nt
Filed under: Solen grandis (grand razor shell)
Lineage: Eukaryota; Metazoa; Mollusca; Bivalvia; Adapedonta; Solenidae
Description: tRNA-Phe
Source: RNAcentral